CGUGAGGGAUGACGGCCUUCGGGUUGUAAACCUCUUUCAGCAGGGACGAAGCGAAAGUGACGGUACCUGCAGAAGAAGCACCGGCUAACUACGUGC
Molecule: ribosomal RNA, 96 nt
Filed under: uncultured bacterium
Lineage: Bacteria
Description: partial 16S ribosomal RNA
Rfam family: Bacterial small subunit ribosomal RNA
Source: RNAcentral